UACGAAGGGGACUAGCGUUGUUCGGAUUUACUGGGCGUAAAGCGCAUGUAGGCGGUCUGAUAAGUUAGAGGUGAAAUCCUUGGGCUCAACCCGAGAAUUGCCUUUGAUACUGUCAGUCUAGAGUUUUAUAGAGGAUAACGGAACUCCCAGUGUAGAGGUGGAAUUUGUAGAUAUUGGGAAGAACACCAGUUGCGAAAGCGGUUAUCUGGAUAAAUACUGACGCUGAGAUGCGAAAGUGUGGGGAGCAAACAGG
Molecule: ribosomal RNA, 253 nt
Filed under: uncultured bacterium
Lineage: Bacteria
Description: partial 16S ribosomal RNA
Rfam family: Bacterial small subunit ribosomal RNA
Source: RNAcentral